This 151-nucleotide ribosomal RNA is filed under the name Neocatenulostroma abietis. RNAcentral's name for it is "5.8S ribosomal RNA". It matches the Rfam family "5.8S ribosomal RNA". From Rfam's summary of the family: 5.8S ribosomal RNA (5.8S rRNA) is a component of the large subunit of the eukaryotic ribosome. It is transcribed by RNA polymerase I as part of the 45S precursor that also contains 18S and 28S rRNA. The record is from RNAcentral. Lineage: Eukaryota; Fungi; Ascomycota; Dothideomycetes; Mycosphaerellales; Teratosphaeriaceae.
AACUUUCAACAACGGAUCUCUUGGUUCUGGCAUCGAUGAAGAACGCAGCGAAAUGCGAUAAGUAAUGUGAAUUGCAGAAUUCAGUGAAUCAUCGAAUCUUUGAACGCACAUUGCGCCCCUUGGUAUUCCGAGGGGCAUGCCUGUUCGAGCG